Molecule: ribosomal RNA, 277 nt
Filed under: uncultured bacterium
Lineage: Bacteria
Description: partial 16S ribosomal RNA
Rfam family: Bacterial small subunit ribosomal RNA
Source: RNAcentral
GACGAACGCUGGCGGCGUGCGUAAUACAUGCAAGUCGAGCGGACUGGCUUUCGGGCCAGUUAGCGGCGGACGGGUGAGUAACGCGUGAGUGACCUGGCCUGAUGGUGGGGGAUAACUGCCCGAAAGGGUGGCUAAUCCCGCAUACGUCCUUCCGGUCGGACGGAAGGGGAAAGCUUCAGCAAUGAGGCGCCUUAGGGGGGGCUUGCGUCCCAUUAGGUGGUUGGUGGGGUAGUGGCCUACCAAGCCGAUGAUGGGUAGCUGGUCUGAGAGGAUGGCC